RNAcentral lists this ribosomal RNA (834 nucleotides) under uncultured bacterium. RNAcentral's name for it is "bacterial SSU rRNA". It matches the Rfam family "Bacterial small subunit ribosomal RNA", at positions 94 to 905 of the family's 1533-position model. The record is from RNAcentral.
AGUGGCGGACGGGUGAGUAACGCGUGGGUAACCUACCCAUAAAUCCGGGACAACCCUUGGAAACGAGGGCUAAUACCGGAUAAUCUUAAAGCUUGGCAUCAGGUUUUAAGGAAAGGUGGCCUCUGAAAAUGCUACCGAUUAUGGAUGGACCCGCGUCUGAUUAGCUAGUUGGUGGGGUAAAGGCCUACCAAGGCGACGAUCAGUAGCCGGCCUGAGAGGGUGAACGGCCACACUGGGACUGAGACACGGCCCAGACUCCUACGGGAGGCAGCAGUGGGGAAUCUUCCGCAAUGGACGAAAGUCUGACGGAGCAACGCCGCGUGUAUGAUGAAGGUCUUCGGAUUGUAAAGUACUGUCUUUGGGGAAGAACGAUUGUUUUGAAAAUAUUGAGACAAUAUGACGGUACCCAAGGAGGAAGCCCCGGCUAACUACGUGCCAGCAGCCGCGGUAAUACGUAGGGGGCAAGCGUUGUCCGGAAUUAUUGGGCGUAAAGGGCGCGCAGGCGGAUAGUUAAGUCCGGUGUGAAAGAUCAGGGCUCAACCCUGAGAGUGCAUCGGAAACUGGUUAUCUUGAGGACAGGAGAGGAAAGUGGAAUUCCACGUGUAGCGGUGAAAUGCGUAGAUAUGUGGAGGAACACCAGUGGCGAAGGCGACUUUCUGGACUGUAACUGACGCUGAGGCGCGAAAGCGUGGGGAGCAAACAGGAUUAGAUACCCUGGUAGUCCACGCUGUAAACGAUGAGUGCUAGGUGUAGAGGGUAUCGACCCCUUCUGUGCCGCAGUUAACACAAUAAGCACUCCGCCUGGGGAGUACGNCCGCAAGGUUGAAACUCAAA